GAAAGAGGGGGAGGGAGAGAGGGGAGGAGGGAGGGAGGGAGGGAGGGAGGGGUUUCUGGAGAGAAGACAGAAGAGAAGGGGGGAGAAAAGAGGAGGGGGAGACAUAUAAAAGCCCCCUGUAGUUCGAGCCACACUUUAUCCAGCCCGUGUCUCCAGCUCUGUCCACAGUCACCGAGAAGCCCUAUCUCUCUCUCUCUCUCUCUAACACACACUCUUACACACACACUCAUACACUCGCUCAGAAUCUCGACUGCUCAACGUGUGGCUCUCUGUCUCACAGAAGUACUCGCACAAACUUUGAUUGGCUGCACGCUCGCUCUUUCACACACACACACACGCUCUCACACUCACACGUUCGCGCUCCUCGGUACGACCUUCAGCAGCUGCGCUCACAAAGAAAGGAUGAUGAGAGACUCCACGAGGAGAAUGAAUGACUUCUGGGGAAGGAUGUCUGUCGCUCUGCUGUUCUGUGCCCUGCUCCUACAAGGUGAGUCAAAACACAAACUUUUCUCUCUCUCUUUUGAAGUUAGAGGAAACAACUUUGAGGUGACAAUGAAGAGAAAAAAGGCGACAGUUUUUCUACUUUAACUUCAGCACAUGUGCAGUGUGAGUUCUCUUUGUUCCCUAACGCUAGUUCCUUGUGCCUGUGAAGUAGUGUUCCAAAACGUUCCUUAAACGUUCCUUAAAAGUAAAAAAAAAGAAAAAACAGCAAAUCCUAAAUAACAUGUGGAUUCUUUCUGCUGUGAAACACACACACACACACACGCAGCGUGGGUCAUUUUCUUGUGGCGCGGAGCCGAGUGUGUGUGUGGAGCGACGAGGCUCUCGAGUGUGUGUGGGUAGUCUUGAGGCUCUUGCUCAGAGCAGGCUGCUGAAAAGGCUCAAAAGAAAGGGGGCCGCUAUGGAGUGGAAUCUUAGCCGUUAAAGCUAAUUAUGGACAACAUCCUGAGUGCUGCCAGGUUAGACCUGGAAAGAGGUGUGUGUGUGUGUGUGUGUGUGUGUGUGCCUGUG
This is a long non-coding RNA of Clupea harengus (Atlantic herring), 1011 nucleotides long. Lineage: Eukaryota; Metazoa; Chordata; Actinopteri; Clupeiformes; Clupeidae. The record is from Ensembl.